CACAGGAUACAACAGAAGGUCCUAUGGCCUGGUYGGUAGCAGGCCUGGAGAUGAGGUUAGGUUGGGGUACAGUGAGACUGCUUUCACUCAGUCUGAAUUUUCUGUUCUGCUUCAGGGGAAUGAUUAAAGGUGGCUUGGCCUUUCAAGUUUGUUCACCGCCCAGUCCAAUUUCACCCAGGAUUUGCUGAGUCACUGGGUGAGACCUGGGCUCUCUUGUAGGUUGCACAGCUAUAUUCGGAGCCCCUUCAUCCUGCUAGAGCCAUCUUCUUGUUUUAAACCAGACAYACCAGAAGCCUCCCCAUGAAAAAGGAGAAGGUUUGUGCAGACGGAGAGGGACAGGGCUCCCUAACGGAGAGGACCAGGGGAAAGUGCGGCAGAGAACUCAGAACUGGAGAGACAGAGCCAGGUUCCAUCCAGUCCGUCCAACUCACUGUGAGCUGUGUGGGAAGGGAAAGUGAGGACCCAGGGACAGGGCCUGAAGAAGACAUGAAGUCCAGCCGCUUCCUCCCAACACCUGUGUUCACAGAGAUGGGCACAGUGGCCCAGGAGACUGACUGUCUAGAAAAUGGAGGAGUCCUUUCUGUCAGGAAUCUCCCUUCCUCCUGAGCAUCCCAGAGCCUUCCCAAGGGGAAGCAGGCCUGCGUGUGUGAGUGACCACGGACCAGGGUAGCGGAGUCCCCAGCUGGGACAGCCAGGACGCUUCCAGCCUUCCUGUUUGGCGGUGCCCCAUCUGGAUCCAGAUGGACAGUUGUAUGCCAACAGCUAUACACAGAGGCAUGGCCAAAGUUGUGAGCCACUGUAAGUUCCCACCCCCAACCUAACAAAAGGCCAGAGCUUAAUCAUUUCGGUGGAUUUUGGUCCCUAGUUAAUCUCUCAGGAUCCUGGCUCUACUUACUUUUCUAGAUGACUUCAAGGUGUCCUCCCAUGGCUUCCUACACAACUGGAAAGGAGACCUUCUUUCUUGGUCAAUCCUUCACCUCCUUGGGCCCCGGUGAAAACUGUAAAUGUCUUAUCCUGGUACCGGUGUCGUUAAUUUUCUCUGAAUGAGUAUAGACCAGYAGGGUGGACCUUGAGUCUUCGGAUGGACUUACUGACUCCUUCUGUAAUAAGCACAUCUGAUGAGAAGGGCAAUGACUGACUGGAGUCUCUGUGUAGAUGGUCUGCUUUGAUCCUUCACUCCGUCUCCUUCAUCCUGAGGUCUCYAAAUCUCUAAGCGAUGGCACAUGCCUGUMAUCCCAGAACUAGGGAGGCUGAGGCAGGAGGAUUGCAAGUUCAA
Long non-coding RNA from Urocitellus parryii (Arctic ground squirrel), 1276 nucleotides. RefSeq lists it as uncharacterized. The record is from RefSeq and is a predicted model, not a curated record. NCBI's taxonomy places the organism in Eukaryota, Metazoa, Chordata, Mammalia, Rodentia, Sciuridae.